AACGCGAAGAACCUUACCUACUCUUGACAUCCUCGGAAUCUUCUAGAGAUAGAGGAGUGCCUUCGGGAACCGAGAGACAGGUGCUGCAUGGCUGUCGUCAGCUCGUGUCGUGAGAUGUUGGGUUAAGUCCCGUAACGAGCGCAACCCUCGCCCUUAGUUGCCAGCGGUUCGGCCGGGAACUCUAAGGGGACUGCCGGUGAUAAACCGGAGGAAGGCGGGGACGACGUCAAGUCAUCAUGGCCCUUACGAGUAGGGCUACACACGUGCUACAAUGGGUAGUACAGAGAGUUGCCAAGCCGCGAGGUGGAGCUAAUCUCACAAAACUGCCCGUAGUUCGGAUUGGAGUCUGCAACUCGACUCCAUGAAGUUGGAAUCGCUAGUAAUCGCGAAUCAGAAUGUCGCGGUGAAUACGUUCUCGGGCCUUGUACACACCGAUAGC
RNAcentral lists this ribosomal RNA (439 nucleotides) under uncultured bacterium. RNAcentral's name for it is "bacterial SSU rRNA". It matches the Rfam family "Bacterial small subunit ribosomal RNA", at positions 958 to 1397 of the family's 1533-position model. The record is from RNAcentral.